Molecule: long non-coding RNA, 2919 nt
Filed under: Homo sapiens (human)
Lineage: Eukaryota; Metazoa; Chordata; Mammalia; Primates; Hominidae
Description: HSALNT0006464
Source: RNAcentral
CUGCUGAAGUCUGCCUCUCCCCACCACCCACCAUGCCCUGGCAGCAUAAAAUCCCAAUUCCACCUCUGCCCUCAUGAUUGCAUCCCUCCUCCUGUCCCAUCUCCCACUGUGCUCCAGCCACAAGGGCCUGCUCAAGUGUUCCUGCCUGGGCUGAGGUCUUCUGUGGCCCCUCCAGGGGCACACUCACCUUCCUCCAACCUGCCCUGUGCCUGAGGCUGACCCGUGUGUCCUAUCAGUGGGCUCUGUGGAGUCAGGCCUCCAGCUGGGUUUGGUCACUGUGAGGUACCCACAGAGAGAGAAGCAGUAUGGGUCAGGGUCUUUAUUCCCACGGUUCUCUCCUUAUAGAUGUCUUGGACUGGUUCCUCGAUCAGAGGCCAUCACUCCUCCCAAAGAAGCCGACUCUAAGUUCCAGCAAUCACUCCUUCCCCUCUUCCCUUCAGGGUGAUAACAGUUUUGCUGCUACUGGUCCAAGGCUACUGCCCUAUUCCUUGUGUUCCUUUCACAAUAGCCUCAUUGUAAAGAAUCUCUCCUUGAAUUCUCCUUCCUUCCUUCCUUCCUUUCUUUCCUUUCUUCUUUUUCUUUUUUUCUUUUUUUUUGAGACAGAGUCUCACUCUAUCACCCAGGAUGGAAUGCAGUGGCAUGAUCUCACUGUCACCUCUGCCUCCCGGGUUCAAGUGAUUCUCACUCCUCAGCCUCCUAAGUAGCUGGGAUUACAGGCACACACCACCACACCUGGCUAAUAUUUUUUGUUGAGACGGGGUUUCACCACGUUGACUAGGCUGGUCUUGAACUUUUGAUCUCAGGCAAUUUGCUUGCCUCGGCCUCCCAAAGUGCUGGGAUUACAAGCGUGAGCCACCGCGCCUGGCCUGAAUUCUCCUAUCUGGAGUGUGCUCCUGUUUCCUGUUGGGAUGCCGACCUGCACGCCUCAUCUCAGGGCCUCCAUACUUGCUGUUCCCAGUGCCCGGUGUGCUCUUCCCUCAGGUCUUUACAUGGGCAACUACUUUUCAGCUUUAAGGUCUCAGCCUGACUAAUGUUUUCUCAGAAAGACUUUCCCAGAGAGAGGGGUCACCUCUAGCCAAAGGUGUCCCCCUCACCCUGGUUGUUCUCAAUCCCAUAGCCCUAGAUUAGUUUCUUCCUUGUAUCUGUCAGUGUUUGCAAUGUUUGUCUGGCUUUCUCCUCUGGAAUGCAAGCUCCGUAAGAGCCGGGGUUUUUAUCUGUCUUGUUUACUUCUGUAUCCCCCAAGCCUAGGACACUGUCUAGCACACAGUAGGCACUUACUAUAAAUGUUUAUUGAAUUUGUAAAUGAGACAGAUUCAAUAUGCAAACCAGGGAGUAGCAUAAAUGAAUGAAUGAAUGUAUAUAUUGGCAAGUAACUCAUCUGAAUUAAUGGAUGAAUGAAUUGGGCAAAUGUGUGACAAAUGAAUGAACACAUUGACACAGACAUGCACCUGGGGAGAAUGCCAUGUGAAGGCGAAGGCAGGGAUUGGGGUGAUGCCUCUACAAGCCCAGGACUCAGAAGAUUGCCGGCAAGUCCCCAGAAGCUAGGGGAGAGGCAUGGAACAGAUUCUUCCUCACAGCCCUCAGAAGGAACCCACCAUACCCAUACCUGGAUUGUGGGCUUCUAGCCUCCAAAACUGUGGGACAAUCUGUUUCUGUUUGUGAAGCCACCCAGUCUGUAUUACUUCUUAUGGCAGCCCGAGCAAAUGAAUAAAGUAUGUCUAGGCUUUAGGCUUCUAGAGCUUUAGAGGUGAUGACCUACCAUGUACAGGCUUUGGAGAGGCAGCACAGUGUGGUCGCAAGAGAGUGGGCUGGCAGCUGGGGACAGUCCCAGCUCUGCCACUGACUUGCUGGGCUAGUCUUCCUGCCUGUGAACUGAGGGGGUGGGACUGCAAGAUUUCUAGGGUCCUUCCCAGCCCUGACUUUUCCUAUUUGAGGAGCUGUGAAGAGGAGGCCAAGCAAGGUCAGGUGGCACAAUCCAGGUCACCCAGAGGGUUAAUCGGAAGUGGUCCCAGGAACAGCGUCUCGCCAAUUGCAUGAUGAUUGCUCCUUUGCCCGAGAUGCCUCCCAGCAGAGUCUACAGCAAGCCUGACCUUCUCUGAUCCUCUGUUCUCAGCCCCUGGGUGGCCUUGGUGCUGUGUGGGUCUGAUAAGGCCCUGGCUAUUUGGAAAGGUGGCUUCCUGCAGGAGGGAGUAUGAGGAGGGCCCUGCUGGUGUCCUGCGAGUUCUUGCACUGCCUCCCUAGGCUGCCUGGAUAGAAGGCUCGAUGCUCUGGCUGGCCUGCUGACUUCCCUUCCUGCCUGAUUCCAGGGCCUUCUUAGAACUAGCCUAGGGACUCAGGCUGGUCCACACCAAAUGGAUGGCAGCAUUUAAAAACUAACAGUUUGCAGUUGUCAGGUUGUUGCUGAGUGGCCCUCUGACUCCCUUGCCUUUCAGUGUCUGAAACAGUGUAUCCAAGGGAGGUCUACAGUGAGAUGCUGCAAGUCUCUGUCCUCACAGGGCUACUGCGGUACGUCCAGUUGUCAGUUUCACGGAGCUGGAAGGGAGAGUAGAGAUGCUGCUUGGCUGAAUGGGAGGUACAAAGAUUCAGUGUUUGAAAACAUGGAUCUUAAAAAUGACAACCUGAGUAUAGGGUGGUGAGGCCUGUUUCACAGUUUUUGCAUGAAAAAAUCUGGAAGUCAUAGUGGCACCCAAGCUCAGUGCAAGAUGACAAUGCCAGAGUAAGGAAGCACAAUUGAGGCUGACUUAAUGAUGCUUUGCAAGGAGGUAGCAAGUCUGUUGUCUCUGACUCAUCUGAUGAGCUCUUUACCCAACAUAGAAUUCUGGCUGCAAGCCUCCAGUGACCAACAGUUCUCUUUUGCUUGCUUGAAGUAGCUCUGUCAGAAAGUUCUUCUUUGUAUUCUGCUUCCUUGUAAUUUUAUUC